GCGCCCUCGCUCUCGGGUAUAGACAACAGCGGGGAGGGAGUGAAACCGUGCAGGGCCAGUGGCGCAAUGGAUAACGCGUCUGACUACGGAUCAGAAGAUUGUGCUACAUGGGGUGCAGAAAAACAUGCUUGGCAACAGCUCCUGGCUUGGAGAGAGUGAACGUGUCUGAAAGUGUCCAAAUCUGUCUGCAUAGCAGGGGGAGAAUGGAAGUGAAGUUUUCUCCUUCAACAGAACCCCUAGACAUUCCCCUGUCCUGUUUCAUCAGGAGGAGUUGAAUAAAUGAGCAUCCUCCUGGGUCAGCCAAGCUGGAGUGUGAC
Molecule: long non-coding RNA, 317 nt
Organism: Catharus ustulatus (Swainson's thrush)
Lineage: Eukaryota; Metazoa; Chordata; Aves; Passeriformes; Turdidae
Exons: 3
Source: RefSeq, a predicted model, not a curated record